Molecule: non-coding RNA, 1158 nt
Filed under: Trichomonas vaginalis G3
Lineage: Eukaryota; Parabasalia; Trichomonadida; Trichomonadidae
Description: Eukaryotic large subunit ribosomal RNA
Rfam family: Eukaryotic large subunit ribosomal RNA
Source: Rfam by way of RNAcentral
CGCUGAACUGAAGCAUCUCAUUAAGCGGAGGAAAAGAAACUAACUAGGAUUCCCUUAGUAAAGGCGAUCGAAAAGGGAACAGCCCAACGUCUUAAUCCCGCAAGGGAAAUGUAGUCGGUUCACCUAUUGCACUGGUCUAAGUCAGAUGGAAUGCUGCGCGAUUCAGAGUAAAAGCCUCGUAUGACCAACCGCAAGCUUACGAUGGACCGGGGAGAGUCGGAUACUUUGAGAGUAUUGUCUUAAGGGGGUGGUAUGUCCCAUCCAAGGCUAAAUAACGUGAGGAGACCGAUAGAUUACAAGUAGUGUGAACGAAAGAUGAAAAGAACUCUAAAACAGAGGGUGAAAAGUUCCUGAACUUGCUUAGGGUUAAGGCUAUUUAUAGUACCCGUCUUGAAACACGGAUUAGGGAGUUUAUCUGUAGUGCGAGUCUUUGCACGUUAACUGUAAAGGCGUAGAGAAAGCAACUGGCGUUUGCAUGGCUACUGAGCAUUACUGAUAGGACCCGAAAGGUGGUGAACUUUGCCUGCACAGGUUGAAGUCAGGGGAAACUCUGAUGGAGGACCGUACGGGUUAUUGAUGUGCAAAUCAUUUUUCUGAUGUAGGUAAAGGUGCGAAAGACUCAUCGAACCACCUAAUAGCUGGUUUCCUCCGAAGUUUCCCUCAGGAUAGCUGUAAUGCAUUUAGUUAAGGGGAGUAGAGAUAUGGGUAGAGGUGCAGGGAGCCUUCGGGUUCUCAACUUAUUUCCAAACUUCGAACCUCCUUGUUAGGCAUUUACCUAACUGGAAAUGCUUAAAUGAAUUAGCGUUACAAGUGGGCUCUGACCGGUAAGCGGUCAUGGCGAAAUGGGAUGAACCAUACGUCUGAAUAAGGUGCCGAAAUGUACUAUCACUGAUACCAUAAAGGGAGUCCAUGUAUUUAGACAGCAGGUCGGUGCCCCUAAAAGCAGGUAUCCGCUAAAGAGUGUGUUAAAACUCACCUGCCGAAUACUAGGGCCCCGAAAAUGAAUGGCGCAUAUAGUACUACCGAUCUCAGACAUCAGUUCUAUUGAACUGAGAGUAGGGGGAUGUGGACAUUUUUGUGAAGGUGCAAUGUGAGUUGGACUGGAAGAAUGUCUAUUACAGAUCCUAAUUGAAGUAGCGAUUAUCCAGGGCUUGUAUC